UACGUAGGGUGCGAGCGUUAAUCGGAAUUACUGGGCGUAAAGCGUGCGCAGGCGGUGAUGUAAGACAGAUGUGAAAUCCCCGGGCUCAACCUGGGAACUGCAUUUGCGACUGCAUCGCUGGAGUGCGGCAGAGGGGGAUGGAAUUCCGCGUGUAGCAGUGAAAUGCGUAGAUAUGCGGAGGAACACCGAUGGCGAAGGCAAUCCCCUGGGCCUGCACUGACGCUCAUGCACGAAAGCGUGGGGAGCAAACAGG
This 253-nucleotide ribosomal RNA is filed under the name uncultured bacterium. RNAcentral describes it as "partial 16S ribosomal RNA". It matches the Rfam family "Bacterial small subunit ribosomal RNA", at positions 524 to 776 of the family's 1533-position model. The record is from RNAcentral.